UUUUUGAGGGUUUUUUUGCGGGUUCCUGAAUCUCAACGGAUUCCCCCCUCCCUCCCUCCCUCCCCUCUGAUGCAGCAGUGUGUUAGCUGGCUAACGUUAGCAAGCUAGCUAAAGCCAGGUCCGUCAGUUCGGGGGUGGGGAGGGAGGGGGGAACGUUGUGAGAAAAUUGUCGAGAGGAAGCAGCAGUCGAUUGAUGGUCCGUUAGCGUCGUUUGUUUUCGUCGGGAGAUGGUGGUCGGUUACAUGCGAGGAUAACUUAAUGGGACACGACGUUUCUGAGGCUGGAACACCUGCCAUCUCCCCUCUCCCAGCGAGCAAGCAAACUAGCUAAGAAAGGUUAAGACAAUCAGAGGCAACAUACAAGUGCCUCCACUGUACGGUUUCCUUUCCCAGAGUGUGACUCGUCUGCACGACGUCACCAAUGCGACCAUGGGAAAUAGCAGUAAAUAGGCUGCCACCAACAGCCCCCUUAAAUCCGAGGAGGUUCCUUGGAGAGCCCUGCAACGCCCCAGUGCAUCUCAGGAGAAGCCCACCAGUGAGACGCCAGUGGGGGAGACGAGACAGACCUGUACUGCACACUUCUCCGAUCCAGGAUGAGAACUUCCAUCAUCUGCUUUUCUCCCAACAUCACCAACAGGUUCCUUUAGAUGAGUCCAGACAGUACAGCCACACCAGCACACCACCACGCAUGCUUCACCCUGCUGCUCACCUGCCCCAGCAGAGCCCCAUCAUGGUGGAUCUACAUGACCAGAUGCACCAGGGAUCAGUUCCAAUAUCAUACACUGUUACAACGGUGACGACCCAUGGAUUUCCCAUCCACACCGGGCAGCCCCUUCCAGGGUGCAACACUCAGCAGCUCCCAGCAUGCUCGGUAAUGUUCAGCGGACAGCUCUCUCUGCUCUGCUGCCUUCCUCCUCCUCUCAUACAGGCAUGUACCAUGCAACAUAUACCGGUGUCUUAUCAAGCCUUUCCACCCCUGAUCUCCAGUGAACAUUUUGUACUGCACCCAACCCCAUCUGUACCCCCCCACCAGCCGCCGCACCUUACUCCUUUGAGCCAGUUUGUCCCUUUACAGCCUCAGCACCCACGCAUGCCUCUACAGAGGGUAGAGAAUGAAGUUGACCUAAGAGGGGACCAGCACCCAUUAGGGACCUUCUCCUACCCUCCUUCUCAUCACCCACCAGCGCUGCCUCCUUCUCUCCCUCUACAGUAUCUUCCUCAAGAGCCUCUGCAUCAGGAGCUUCCCUUCGGAGUGCCAUAUCCCCACAUGCUGCCCCGGAGAGUGAAUGGACAGAGAUACCGGUUGCAGCAGCCUCUCCCCCCUCCUCCUCCCCCUCCAUCUUACUACCCAGGCUUCCUCCCGUACUUCCUGUCAAUGCUUCCUGUGCCUCCAACAGCAGUGGGCCCAGCCAUCAGCCUAGACCUGGACGUGGAUGAUGUAGAGAUGGAGAACUAUGAAGCAUUAUUGAAUUUGGCAGAAAGGUUGGGUGAAGCGAAACCACGUGGACUAACAAAAGCAGAUAUAGAGCAACUUCCGUCCUACAGAUUCAACUCAGAGAAUCAUCUAUCUGAACAAACGCUGUGUGUUGUGUGCUUUAGUGAUUUUGAGUGUAGGCAGCUACUUCGGGUAUUACCUUGUAACCACGAAUUCCACGCUAAAUGUGUGGAUAAAUGGUUAAAGACCAAUCGCACUUGUCCCAUUUGCCGAGCCGAUGCCUCGGACGUACACCGGGAGGUGGAGUGAGAACUGUCUCUGAGCGCUGAACUGGAAAAGCUGCACACGCCAGAGUCUGUCCCAAAGCUGGGGACACCUGCCACCUAACCUGCGUCCUCCAGUAAAUAUAGCUUACCAACCCACUUACUCCUGCCCCUUCCUAAAUAAUAAGCAAUCCAGGAUUGUUUCUGGAGCCUGUUGUACCUCUGCUGUGCUUCAUUGUCCGAGUCUCAUGAAACCCACUGCCUACUGCAGCCUAUAGCCAGAGUUCUGGGAUCGCCAGCCAGUUCUUUCUCUGCCCCCUUGUUGCAGAUUCCAAAGAUUUUCCCUACAAUGCAUUAUUUGCUGCUUUUGUUUACAGGGUUUCAUUUUUAUUUAGUGGAUUUGGUUGUGGUGUUCAUGAAAAGCGGGAGUCCUGCAUUGGAAGAGAUGGUUCGGAAGCCUGGAGGAUGAUAGGCUGGACACCUUGUGCAAUUAGCAGAAAAAUAAUAGGAGUACUUCAACAUGGGUAUCUGUGUUUGGAGGCGACGCCUGACCAUCAUAGAUGCAUGUUCGUGUAGGUGUUGGGCAAAGGGACUUGUUAAAAAUGUAUGUUCUGCAAUAAUAUAUCGAUCCUUUUUAACGGUUUUACCCCUUAUUUGUUUUCGACUUUGACAAUGCUAUUGUGAAAGUGUGACUUGCUGUGGUUAAAUGCAGAUUCUGAGGUUACGGACUGCAAGCGACGGGACAUGCAACUGCAGGGUAUCUCCUACUCUGGAACACAGAUCUGUACAAAAAGCAGUCAUGGAUUAAUGGACUGCGUCUUUUUGAGGUCAUCUGGCAUAACUGCACAAGUGCUACAUCCACCCUCCACGUCAGCAUUGUUCUUCUGGCAAGUGUGUACGCGUGUGUGCAUAUUGUGUGUGUAUGUUUGUCCUGUUCACAGAGCCAAUGCAUUGUGUAACCACUGGAUACAGGGCAGCAUGCUAAGGAUUUGCAUGAACUGUUGAUUCAGACUAGCAAUAUUUUAAUCAAGCAUUGCCACCAAAAUUUAUCAAAUUUUAAGAAAAAGAAGAGACAAAGAAGCAUACUAAAAGACCUGCUUGCUUAUUCAGAAAGCGCCACGAGGGAAGACUAGCAUGUGGUUACACCCUUACUGUGUUUGAAGUAUGGGAGUCCUCUCGUCUGAAGGCUGUGCUGAUGCCAUAGAGCUCUGGAGGCCUGUGCAGAAAGCAAUAUGUGCAGUGAGUGGUUUAUUUAUUGGUUUUAUCUUCUAGAGGAAAAUACAUUGAAGGAAACAGUCGGAGCACUAACAACGUUUGUGUACGGUAUGUGUUUUAAUCUGGUAACUUGGUCAGGUCAUUGUCUUAGGCCAUGGUAACGGUGUUGUAAAAGAGCAACUGUAUGUAUAGCUUCAGUGUGAAUGCUUUUAGAUAAACGUUUGAAGACAGAAGAAUGUUGAAAAACCCUUGUAGAAGUCACUGGUGACGCUUCACGUUACGCCAGCUGUCUGUAUUCACGGUGAUCAGAAGAGGCUUCAAAUGACACAGAGCUGGAGUGUUCAGUAGUGUAGAGACACUGUUAGACUUCUAGUUCCCUGCUUGUGUUAACACUAAAACUAAAACAAAACAAAAAAAAACAGGAUAUAUUCGGGGUGGGAGGGAAGAGAGCGACAAAUGAACUUUUUGCUUUUGAUUCACUCUUGUCUCUUAACUGCCCCAGUAAGCACUAACAGGCAGUUGUAACCUUUGCUUUUACGUGUAAAGGGAUCUUGCCUUUUUUUUUUUCUUUACUUUUGUUUCUUAAGUGAAUGUGAGUCUUUGACGUGUGCCACCUUCAAGAGAGAAAAAAAAAAAGAAGCCAUUUAAUGAGUUAAACCCACAGCUUUGAGAAUUAACCUAUGUGUACAUAUCUAUUCGCUGGCAUAUAUUGUAAGUUUAAAAAAAAAAAAAAUCACUCAGGGCCUCUCGGUAUAUAAAAAUAAAGGAGAACAGUCCAUUUCGAAUGGAAAGGAUGCCAUGAAAAGGGUAUAUCUGAAUUUAGUUUGGUCGUUUUCCUCAGACCAUAAAUAAUUUAAUGUAAUCAAUUAUAAUAUUCUGUUUUGUCUGAAAUAGUAGAUAUUACAUCAUUUAAAGACAGGCAUGCGAGAAAAAAAGAUCAGUAAAUAUGUUAAUAAUAUUCACUGAAAAGAGGCAAUGUACACUGCAACUCAUUACAAGUGUAUUAUUCAAAACCUGUUUGACUUUUGUUCUUGUACUCGAACCAUAUGUUCAGACAUAGCGGUUGUGAUCCCAUUUCUGAUUGUGCCACGGCGCACACUAUCCUACCUAAUUCACUCCCAAAUCGACUUCAGAGGUGUUUUGCAUGACUUAAAAAAAAACAAACAAAAAAAAAAGAAGUAAAACAAGUGUGUUAUAGUGGAGGGUAUCUCAAAAUCCGGUGGGGACCUAUUUAAUGGUGCACAAUAUGCAUGCUUGUCAACCAGAUCCCAACUGAUUUUUAGCUCUAGUUGGCUUUGGGUUCUGGGGGUUUGGAUCUUAACGCUCAGCUGAUAACUGCCAUGCAUUGUACUGCACACAUUUGUAAUAGAACUGAAUGACUACAAGAUUUUAUUGCGCUAACUUCAUUUUAUAGAAAAAAAAAGGAAAAAAAACUGGUCUUGAAUCCAGAAAUUCUUACAUACAUUGUGUUACUGUUAUUGCCCUAACGACUGAAAAUUACAUGCUCUGAAACUACUGUAGUUUAUCAAAAGCCAUAGUGAAAAGGUGCUAGAUGUUCUGCUUUUAGGUAUGAAAACUCACUUGCGUGAAUGCAAUAGUUUGUCAUGGAUCCCAUGUAUUCUUAAAGCAUGUUAUACUGAUACCCCCUAAACAAUGUCAGUGAAAAUCAACAUAGUUUAAGGGAUUUAAAAAAAAGGAAAAAAAAAAAAAAAAAAGAAAAAAAGUGUUGUCAUACUUAUUUCAGUGUAGUACUGUACCUGCCUAUCAGGCUCUUGCUCUCAGUGUAUCAAUAUCUUAAAAUGUAUUGUUCACAUAUAGAUACCUUAAUUCAUGUUAAUGUUAGCACUAUUCUUUUUGAAGUAAAUAUUUAAUUGACAAUAUCCAGCUACCCUCUGAAAUAAAAAGAGAACCUCCCAUUAAGGCCUAGGUAAUGAGGUAAUUUUUAACGACAACUGAGAAUAGAGUCUUGUAGUCUUUCUGUUAAGAGUUAUUGAAUAAUCUCACAGCUUGUGUGGUGCAAAAAUGUGUUCCAAUAAGCAGCUAAAAAUUUAUUUAGGAUUUGUGAUUGAUUGCUCCGUAGAUGCCAUUUAUUGUUUACCAAUGAUUUUAAUUUUUUAAUUUUUUUUUUUGCUGUGGUGGGAUAGUGGUUUACUGUUCUUACUCUCCUUGGCCUCUAGGGGUCCUUGCCUGAACACCAGACUACCCACCCACCAACAGAGCCAGGGGCAUGUGUUCUGUGUUAGGCAGAUAUUUUGCUUUGGUACUUGCACAUUUACAGUUACCUCAUUUUUUCCAUGUUUGUAUUGGGGUGGGGUGGGCGGGGGAGAAAACAACUAAUAUAUAUUAUAUAUAGGAAAUGGUUCUUAUUAAUGUUAUAAUUUUUCAUUCCAUUGGAAUCAUAUUGUUUGUAGCAUUUAACAUAACUAGUUAGUGUAUUAUAUAAACAUCUGUAUACUGUUUGAAAUUUUUAAGAUUUGUACUUUUUUUAAAUGAAAGUUGCUAGUUAUGCUUUACCAAGUAGUGCAAUCAUAUUUUUUUUUAAUUGUUGUGGCUGAUUUGAGAGGGUUGUUCACUAAUAAAUGUAUGAUGUAUACCAAUAUCA
This is an RNA transcript of Stegastes partitus (bicolor damselfish), 5514 nucleotides long. It is a transcript of the gene named ring finger protein 44, with no coding region annotated. Lineage: Eukaryota; Metazoa; Chordata; Actinopteri; Pomacentridae. The record is from RefSeq and is a predicted model, not a curated record. The transcript has 12 exons.